CGGAGGUAGCCGAAAAUCCUUAAAAGAGUAGGCA
Molecule: non-coding RNA, 34 nt
Filed under: pig gut metagenome
Description: DUF805b RNA
Rfam family: DUF805b RNA
About the family: Bacteroidetes, Chlorobi (1 example), Proteobacteria.
Source: RNAcentral